UUUUACAAUGAAGAGUUUGAUCCUGGCUCAGGAUGAACGCUAGCGGCAGGCCUAACACAUGCAAGUCGAGGGGUAACAGGGAAGCUUGCUUCCGCUGACGACCGGCGAACGGGUGCGUAACACGUAUGCAACCUGCCUCUAACUGGGGGAUAGCUCAUAGAAAUGUGAAUUAAUACCCCAUAAUAUAUAAAUAAGGCAUCUUUUUUAUAUUAAAGCUCCGGCGGUUAGAGAUGGGCAUGCGGGACAUUAGCUUGUUGGUGAGGUAACGGCUCACCAAGGCUACGAUGUCUAGGGGGUCUGAGAGGACUAUCCCCCACACUGGUACUGAGACACGGACCAGACUCCUACGGGAGGCAGCAGUGAGGAAUAUUGCGCAAUGGACGAAAGUCUGACGCAGCCAUGCCGCGU
RNAcentral lists this ribosomal RNA (408 nucleotides) under Flavobacteriales bacterium. Its description in RNAcentral is "bacterial SSU rRNA". It matches the Rfam family "Bacterial small subunit ribosomal RNA", at positions 1 to 402 of the family's 1533-position model. The record is from RNAcentral. Lineage: Bacteria; Pseudomonadati; Bacteroidota; Flavobacteriia; Flavobacteriales.